RNAcentral lists this ribosomal RNA (497 nucleotides) under uncultured bacterium. Its description in RNAcentral is "partial 16S ribosomal RNA". It matches the Rfam family "Bacterial small subunit ribosomal RNA", at positions 28 to 507 of the family's 1533-position model. The record is from RNAcentral.
GAUGAACGCUGGCGGCGUGCCUAAUACAUGCAGGUCGAGCGAACAGACGAGGAGCUUGCUCCUCUGACGUUAGCGGCGGACGGGUGAGUAACACGUGGAUAACCUACCUAUAAGACUGGGAUAACUUCGGGAAACCGGAGCUAAUACCGGAUAAUAUAUUGAACCGCAUGGUUCAAUAGUGAAAGGCGGUUUUGCUGUCACUUAUAGAUGGAUCCGCGCCGCAUUAGCUAGUUGGUAAGGUAACGGCUUACCAAGGCAACGAUGCGUAGCCGACCUGAGAGGGUGAUCGGCCACACUGGAACUGAGACACGGUCCAGACUCCUACGGGAGGCAGCAGUAGGGAAUCUUCCGCAAUGGGCGAAAGCCUGACGGAGCAACGCCGCGUGAGUGAUGAAGGUCUUCGGAUCGUAAAACUCUGUUAUUAGGGAAGAACAAAUGUGUAAGUAACUAUGCACGUCUUGACGGUACCUAAUCAGAAAGCCACGGCUAACUACGUG